Molecule: transfer RNA, 94 nt
Filed under: Pseudomonas fluorescens
Lineage: Bacteria; Pseudomonadati; Pseudomonadota; Gammaproteobacteria; Pseudomonadales; Pseudomonadaceae
Description: tRNA-Ser
Source: RNAcentral
GCGGUCCACGGCCAGCAGGUACUGGGUCAGGUCGUUGGAGCCGACCGACAGGAAGUCCACUUGCCGUGCCAGUUCCUUGGUCUGAUAAACCGCC